CUUGGUCAUUUAGAGGAAGUAAAAGUCGUAACAAGGUUUCCGUAGGUGAACCUGCGGAAGGAUCAUUAGUGAACGCCCUCACGGGCUUAUAACUAUUCCAAACCUCUGUGAACCGUGCCCUUCGGGGCUAUUUUACAAACAUGGUGUAAUGAACGCCACAUAUCAUAGCAAAACAAAACUUUCAACAACGGAUCUCUUGGCUCUCGCAUCGAUGAAGAACGCAGCGAAAUGCGAUAAGUAAUGUGAAUUGCAGAAUUCAGUGAAUCAUCGAAUCUUUGAACGCACCUUGCGCCCUCUGGUAUUCCGGAGGGCAUGCCUGUUUGAGUGUCAUGUAGACUCAAUCCCUCGGGUUUCCGAGGAGAUUGGACUUGGGUGUUGCCGCUCUGCCGGCUCGCCUUAAAAGACUUAGCGGGAUAGCACCGUAGUCGGCGUAAUAAGUUUCGUCGGUGAAGGUUGUGAUGACUGCUACAAUCGCCCUCGGGCAAUUUUUGACUCUGACCUCAAAUCAGGUAGGACUACCCGCUGAACUUAAGCAUAUCAAUAAGCGGAGG
RNAcentral lists this ribosomal RNA (551 nucleotides) under uncultured Cryptococcus. Its description in RNAcentral is "eukaryotic LSU rRNA". The stretch from base 177 to 330 matches the Rfam family "5.8S ribosomal RNA". Lineage: Eukaryota; Fungi; Basidiomycota; Tremellomycetes. The record is from RNAcentral.